RNAcentral lists this ribosomal RNA (460 nucleotides) under uncultured bacterium. RNAcentral's name for it is "partial 16S ribosomal RNA". It matches the Rfam family "Bacterial small subunit ribosomal RNA", at positions 338 to 795 of the family's 1533-position model. The record is from RNAcentral.
CCUACGGGUGACAGCAGUGAGGAAUAUUGGUCAAUGGACGAGAGUCUGAACCAGCCAAGUAGCGUGAAGGAUGACUGCCCUAUGGGUUGUAAACUUCUUUUAUAUGGGAAUAAAAUGUCCCACGUGUGGGAUUUUGUAUGUACCAUAUGAAUAAGGAUCGGCUAACUCCGUGCCAGCAGCCGCGGUAAUACGGAGGAUCCGAGCGUUAUCCGGAUUUAUUGGGUGUAAAGGGAGCGUAGGUGGAUUGUUAAGUCAGUUGUGAAAGUUUGCGGCUCAACCGUAAAAUUGCAGUUGAAACGGGCAGUCUUGAGUACAGUAGAGGUGGGCGGAAUUCGUGGUGUAGCGGUGAAAUGCUUAGAUAUCACGAAGAACUCCGAUUGCGAAGGCAGUUCACUGGACUGCAACUGACACUGAGGCUCGAAAGUGUGGGUAUCAAACAGGAUUAGAUACCCGAGUAGUC